RNAcentral lists this ribosomal RNA (253 nucleotides) under uncultured bacterium. Its description in RNAcentral is "partial 16S ribosomal RNA". It matches the Rfam family "Bacterial small subunit ribosomal RNA", at positions 524 to 776 of the family's 1533-position model. The record is from RNAcentral.
UACGGAGGGUGCAAGCGUUAUCCGGAUUCACUGGGUUUAAAGGGUGCGUAGGUGGGCUGGUAAGUCAGUGGUGAAAUCUCCAGGCUUAACUUGGAAACUACCAUUGAUACUAUCAGUCUUGAAUACCGUGGAGGUCAGCGGAAUAUGUCAUGUAGCGGUGAAAUGCUUAGAUAUGACAUAGAACACCAAUUGCGAAGGCAGCUUACUACAGGGACAUUGACACUGAGGCACGAAAGCGUGGGGAUCAAACAGG